AUUCCAGCUCCAAUAGCGUAUAUUAAAGUUGUUGCAGUUAAAAAGCUCGUAGUUGGAUUUCUGGGAGGGUGCCGAUGUCCACUUAACGUGUGCGCAGCGGCGCCCUCUCAUCCUUCUGUUAGCGUCUCUUGGCAUUCAUUUGCUGGUGGCGGGCUCAGAUAUUUUACCUUGAGAAAAUUAGAGUGUUUCAGGCAGGCUAGGCCGGAAUACAUUAGCAUGGAAUAAUGGAAUAGGACUACGGUCUCUUUGUUGGUUUGAGGGACUGCAGUAAUGAUUAAUAGGGAUAGUUGGUGGCAUUAGUACUUAACUGUCAGAGGUGGAAUUCUCAGAUUUGUUAAAGACUGACUUAUGCGAAAGCGUUUGCCAAGGAUGUUUUCAUUG
RNAcentral lists this ribosomal RNA (381 nucleotides) under Strombidium sp. RNAcentral describes it as "partial small subunit ribosomal RNA". It matches the Rfam family "Eukaryotic small subunit ribosomal RNA", at positions 582 to 975 of the family's 1831-position model. Lineage: Eukaryota; Ciliophora; Spirotrichea; Strombidiidae. The record is from RNAcentral.